AUUGAACGCUGGCGGCAUGCUUUACACAUGCAAGUCGAACGGCAGCGCGGGCUUCGGCCUGGCGGCGAGUGGCGAACGGGUGAGUAAUGCAUCGGAACGUGCCCAGUAGUGGGGGAUAGCCCGGCGAAAGCCGGAUUAAUACCGCAUACGACCUGAGGGUGAAAGCGGGGGACCGAAAGGCUCGCGCUAUUGGAGCGGCCGAUGUCGGAUUAGCUAGUUGGUGGGGUAAAGGCUUACCAAGGCGACGAUCCGUAGCUGGUCUGAGAGGACGACCAGCCACACUGGGACUGAGACACGGCCCAGACUCCUACGGGAGGCAGCAGUGGGGAAUUUUGGACAAUGGGGGCAACCCUGAUCCAGCCAUGCCGCGUGCGGGAAGAAGGCCUUCGGGUUGUAAACCGCUUUUGUUCGGGAAGAAAUCCUCUGGGCUAAUACCCCGGGGGGAUGACGGUACCGGAAGAAUAAGCACCGGCUAACUACGUG
This 483-nucleotide ribosomal RNA is filed under the name uncultured bacterium. RNAcentral describes it as "partial 16S ribosomal RNA". It matches the Rfam family "Bacterial small subunit ribosomal RNA", at positions 28 to 507 of the family's 1533-position model. The record is from RNAcentral.